This 70-nucleotide transfer RNA is filed under the name Dipodomys ordii (Ord's kangaroo rat). It matches the Rfam family "tRNA". From Rfam's summary of the family: Transfer RNA (tRNA) molecules are approximately 80 nucleotides in length. The record is from Rfam by way of RNAcentral. Lineage: Eukaryota; Metazoa; Chordata; Mammalia; Rodentia; Heteromyidae.
GGGAUUGUGGCUCAGUGGGAGAGCGCUUGCCUCGCAUGCAAGAGGCCCUGGGUUCGAUUCCUCAGCACCA